Molecule: ribosomal RNA, 253 nt
Filed under: uncultured bacterium
Lineage: Bacteria
Description: partial 16S ribosomal RNA
Rfam family: Bacterial small subunit ribosomal RNA
Source: RNAcentral
UACGAAGGGGGCUAGCGUUGCUCGGAAUUACUGGGCGUAAAGCGCACGUAGGCGGCUCUUUAAGUCGGGGGUGAAAUCCUGAAGCUCAACUCCAGAACUGCCUUCGAUACUGUAGAGCUUGAGUUCGGGAGAGGUGAGUGGAACUGCGAGUGUAGAGGUGAAAUUCGUAGAUAUUCGCAAGAACACCAGUGGCGAAGGCGGCUCACUGGCCCGAUACUGACGCUGAGGUGCGAAAGCGUGGGGAGCAAACAGG